GCGGGUGUGGUGGAAUUGGUAGACGCGCCGGACUCAAAAUCCGGUUCCGUGAGGAGUGUCGGUUCGAGUCCGACCACCCGCACCA
RNAcentral lists this transfer RNA (85 nucleotides) under Rhodospirillales bacterium. RNAcentral's name for it is "tRNA-Leu". It matches the Rfam family "tRNA". From Rfam's summary of the family: Transfer RNA (tRNA) molecules are approximately 80 nucleotides in length. The record is from RNAcentral. Lineage: Bacteria; Pseudomonadati; Pseudomonadota; Alphaproteobacteria; Rhodospirillales.